UCCUACGGGAGGCAGCAGUGGGGGAUAUUGCCCAAUGGGGGAAACCCUGAUGCAGCGACGCCGCGUGAGGGAAGACGGUUUUCGGAUUGUAAACCUCUGUCUUUGGGGACGAAUUGAGACGGUACCUAAGGAGGAAGCUCCGGCUAACUACGUGCCAGCAGCCGCGGUAAUACGUAGGGAGCGAGCGUUAUCCGGAUUUAUUGGGUGUAAAGGGUGCGUAGACGGGAAUUUAAGUUAGUUGUGAAAUCCCUCGGCUCAACUGAGGAACUGCAACUAAAACUGGAUUUCUUGAGUGCUGGAGAGGA
RNAcentral lists this ribosomal RNA (305 nucleotides) under uncultured bacterium. RNAcentral describes it as "bacterial SSU rRNA". It matches the Rfam family "Bacterial small subunit ribosomal RNA", at positions 337 to 658 of the family's 1533-position model. The record is from RNAcentral.